UUUUCAAUUUCGAUCCUAAACGUGCCAUGAAAGGUUUUUCCCUUAGAAAGUUUCGAUUCGGACUUAACAACAACGUGUUUGUCUGCAAUAAUGUAAUCCAAGUAUACAAGAAUUCCGAAAACUGUGAUUUUUCAAGCAGAGAAGCGACGACACGUAAAUGACACGGCGCUCUGCCUCAAAACUUGACGAAACUUGAAGAAAAUAAAAGGCAUAAAAGACGACAAAAUAUGGCAGAAAAACUGAAAGCUUUGGAUGAGGAAGGGAAUUGUUGGGAAAGAAGGUGAAUUGUUAAUCAACAUUCAAUAUUUCUUUGUGCUUAUAGUUGUGGGUUUAUUUGUAGUGGCACAUUUUUUUUCAAUUGAAAAAAACAUUCAUUAAAGUUUAUUGUGCCGGU
Xenia sp. Carnegie-2017 is the source of this 394-nucleotide long non-coding RNA. RefSeq lists it as uncharacterized. Lineage: Eukaryota; Metazoa; Cnidaria; Anthozoa; Malacalcyonacea; Xeniidae. The record is from RefSeq and is a predicted model, not a curated record. The transcript has 2 exons.